Molecule: ribosomal RNA, 483 nt
Filed under: uncultured bacterium
Lineage: Bacteria
Description: bacterial SSU rRNA
Rfam family: Bacterial small subunit ribosomal RNA
Source: RNAcentral
ACGAACGCUGGCGGCGUGCCUAACACAUGCAAGUCGAACGGAGAGUAUAUGAUCAAGACUUCGGUCAAGAGAGUANAUUUCUUAGUGGCGGACGGGUGAGUAACGCGUGAGCAAUCUGCCUUUCAGAGGGGGAUAACGUUCUGAAAAGAACGCUAAUACCGCAUAACGUACCGGGAUGGCAUCAUUCUGGUACCAAAGGAGCAAUCCGCUGAAAGAUGAGCUCGCGUCUGAUUAGAUAGUUGGUGGGGUAACGGCCUACCAAGUCGACGAUCAGUAGCCGAGCUGAGAGGCACAACGGCCACAUUGGGACUGAGACACGGCCCAGACUCCUACGGGAGGCAGCAGUCGGGAAUAUUGCACAAUGGAGGAAACUCUGAUGCAGUGACGCCGCGUAUAGGAAGAAGGUCUUUGGAUUGUAAACUAUUGUCGACAGGGAAGAAGAAAAUGACAGUACCUGUGGAGGAAGCUCCGGCUAACUACGUG